UGGAACAAUCACCCCAGGCACCGAUGUAAUUGAAUCCUGGCCGGAGCAGAGCUUCAGCAAUCCCCCAGAAGUGGACGGAUAUUGAUUUGCUCUCAGCAUGAGGAGAUGGCCCUCCGCCCCACUUUCCAAGCCCUCUGGAUUCCAACAGCCUUUUGCAGACAAGGGGAUGAGCAUGUUUAUGGAGGAGCCUUUCAAGAGAGGAGGUGUGAACUCAGUUCUUUUCCAGCUGCUGCUGGAAGACAUGUUGCUGCCUGAAAGCAAGGUCCAAAUGAAGCCACGGGAGAGUGUGGCACCAACACUGCAAAGAGAACUGGGCAGGCAGAUCCCUGCACCCGUGAGGAACUCCACUGACUUCAUCUAUAUUUUCUAGUCUUCCGCUUGCUCCCCAGAACCAGGAUAACAAAUGACUUGCAAGGUAACAAUGGUGCACAGUUACUAGGGGUGUUCAAGAAAAGGCUAGAUAAACGUAUGCCAAGAUGAGUGGAUAAGCCUAACGUCCUUACGGAGGGGUUUGGAGUGGACGCGACACUGUAAUGCAUAUUACUGAGGGCUUUCAGUGGCACUGUGGGCUGCAUGCCACCACUGGAGACAUGCUCUCAAAUCCUGGCAUCGAUCACUGUAAGUUGUUGGGGUGACACUAUUGAUUCAGCAGCAAAAUCCAGUUUGAGCCAGCAAAGUCUCUCUCCCCACAGUUUUAUUUUUCCUUAAGGGCUGCAGGGCGGUGUGUACAGCAUAAAUGGAAAAACACCCCAGCGUGGGGCAAACCAGCCCAGUCAGUGUAGAGCUCUGUCUUCUCAAAGGCAUCCUCUCCUUCUAAUUGCCAAGCUCCUCUUCUACAGUUACCCAUCCCUCCCUGAGAGCUUGUCGGCGGCCUUCCACCCCCAACAGCCUUGCCUUGACCGUCUGUGUGAGGACUAAGCAAGACAUUAAACCCCUGCUUGCCGGAAAAGAAGAAGGGACUCCGGAUGCAGUCACAGUCAUCGAUGAGAGUGGCAUUUUCCCCCCCAGUCUCUAUUUCUCCACAGCAUAAUGACUGGCACCCUUUGCUCCAGAGAGAAGCCAGAACUAGCCGGAACAGCAGGGAGAGUCAUGCCAAAGAGGCUAUCACACAGAAAAGGAAGAGGAGGAUGGUAAAGAAAACACCUUAUUCUAGAGCCAACAAUGGAACCUGUGAGACCAUGCAAGCAGCUCCCCAUUCUUCUACUAGCUGCUUCCAGCUGGUCCUACAUGUAAUGGAGCAAUGGAGGUUACCACCAUCUCAAGGGAUUCUUCUUCAACCAGGAAUAUCUGCCAUAGACUUCUAACAAGCCAUGUUAAACUGCCCGUUUCCAGCUGUCCUGAAGCUAGGGAGCUCCCCUGAUGACCUCCUGUUGGACUUUUCUUUGAGCACUUAAGAGCUGGCUCAGGCAAUCUACCCAAAGACAUUUUUAUUUGUCUCUUACCUGCAGGUAAUAGUCAGUGUAUCCUUGGAGUUUAUGGUGUGUUCCUCCUCGGUAAUGCUGAGAGUGGGUGGGGUCAUAGAAUAGCCUCUCACCAGAUCUGGGGAGAGAAAGAAGAGAAGGAGCAAUGUGGAAAUGUGAUAAAUCUGGUCACUCCGCUGUGUGGUAGUUUGGUUUGGUCUCUAAAGCCAGUCUAAAUAAAUGCAGGAGGGUGACCAGGCCCGCUGAGGGAAAGACCCUGUAACAGAGCAGUGGGAUUGUGUUGCCCCCAGUUAAUUUACUGCUGACUCACUGGGGAAAGUGAGGUUCAUUAGGCUCUAACCAUAAGGGAACAGUUCUCCAGCAAAGGGUCUGGUACAGAUCCUGAGGGAAGGAAACACAGGAGCAGAUGAGGCCUGGAGAGAGGAUUACGGCUGGGUUGAAGGAAAUCUAGGAACAGUCCAUCUUCAAGAGCUGGUUCAGGCUGCGAUUACAUGAAGUAUUGUUUUGGAAUGAUCCCUUUUAGUAAUAAACCAGUAGUUUUGUCUGAAGUUGGGUGUGUAUCCCAUCUGCUUACAGACCCCCAAUUUCAAAACGCAGAACUCUUGCAUAUGUACCAAUGACGUGGGGAAAACCUUUCAACACAAGGCUCUCAAAAAGCAACAGCAUCUUUUCACACUUACACUGAAUGUUUUUCUAACCAUGGACUCUCUUGGAUAAGACUGAGACUGUCUGGGAGGAUGUUGUACCUUUUGGGAUUCGGGCAGAACCAUUUCCAUGGCUGGGGGUGUAGAAUUCCAUGAGAUGAAUUACGCACCCUUAUGCGGAGAGAGUCAUUGUUUGGAUAGGUGAACAUAAUAUAAUUAAUUUCUUCUUCAAGUCUUGUGUGGAUCCCUCUUCUAGGGCACAAGCCACGCAUCUGAUACACAUGUCCACCAUAAGAGGGAUCCACACUGAGAAAUCAUCUUGAAGAACAACAGUUACUGGAAGGUAAAUAACCAUGGAUUUUCAUUAACCCAGUGUGGCCAACUCUCCUGAUUUUAUCGUGAGCUUUGUGAUAUUUGAUGCUUAUCUUAAAGCCCCAGCUUCUGAAGGGAUGUGAUUAGGAAAGUCCCAUGGCUUUCAUUAAAAAAAAAAAAGGUUUCUAGCUCUCAA
Non-coding RNA from Chrysemys picta bellii (western painted turtle), 2573 nucleotides. The record is from RefSeq and is a predicted model, not a curated record. Lineage: Eukaryota; Metazoa; Chordata; Testudines; Emydidae.